CCCUUAGAGUUUGAUCCUGGCUCAGGACGAACGCUGGCGGCGUGCCUAAUACAUGCAAGUCGAGCGAAUCUUCAGGAGCUUGCUCCUGAAGGUCAGCGGCGGACGGGUGAGUAACACGUGGGCAACCUGCCUGUAAGACUGGGAUAACUUCGGGAAACCGGAGCUAAUACCGGAUAAUCCUUUUCCUCUCAUGAGGAAAAGCUGAAAGAUGGCGCAAGCUAUCACUUACAGAUGGGCCCGCGGCGCAUUAGCUAGUUGGUGAGGUAAUGGCUCACCAAGGCGACGAUGCGUAGCCGACCUGAGAGGGUGAUCGGCCACACUGGGACUGAGACACGGCCCAGACUCCUACGGGAGGCAGCAGUAGGGAAUCUUCCGCAAUGGACGAAAGUCUGACGGAGCAACGCCGCGUGAACGAUGAAGGCUUUCGGGUCGUAAAGUUCUGUUGUUAGGGAAGAACAAGUACCGGAGUAACUGCCGGUACCUUGACGGUACCUAACCAGAAAGCCACGGCUAACUACGUGCCAGCAGCCGCGGUAAUACGUAGGUGGCAAGCGUUGUCCGGAAUUAUUGGGCGUAAAGCGCGCGCAGGCGGUUCCUUAAGUCUGAUGUGAAAGCCCCCGGCUCAACCGGGGAGGGUCAUUGGAAACUGGGGAACUUGAGUACAGAAGAGGAAAGCGGAAUUCCACGUGUAGCGGUGAAAUGCGUAGAGAUGU
RNAcentral lists this ribosomal RNA (713 nucleotides) under uncultured bacterium. RNAcentral's name for it is "bacterial SSU rRNA". It matches the Rfam family "Bacterial small subunit ribosomal RNA", at positions 1 to 699 of the family's 1533-position model. The record is from RNAcentral.